UUGUUGGAGAGUUUGAUCCUGGCUCAGGACGAACGCUGGCGGCGUGCUUUAUACAUGCAAGUCAAGGAGAACGUUUUCUUCGGAAAAUUAUUAAACUGGCGAACGGGUGAGUAACGCGUAGGCAACCUGCCCUAGAGAUUGGGAUAACAUCGGGAAACCGGUGCUAAUACCGAAUAAUGCAGCGGAUCCUUCGGGAUACAGUUGUUAAAGCGGGCUUCGGCUCGCACUUUAGGAUGGGCCUGCGUCCGAUUA
This 252-nucleotide ribosomal RNA is filed under the name Alphaproteobacteria bacterium. RNAcentral's name for it is "partial 16S ribosomal RNA". It matches the Rfam family "Bacterial small subunit ribosomal RNA", at positions 1 to 243 of the family's 1533-position model. The record is from RNAcentral. Lineage: Bacteria; Pseudomonadati; Pseudomonadota; Alphaproteobacteria.